AUGGCCAUGACAGACAAAUACUUUGAGAGGCGGCAAGCUGAAAGCCCACAAUUCUUAUAUGCAACACAAGUGAAUAAGGAGACAAAUGCGGUAGAAGCAUUGUUUUGGGUGGAUGGAAGGAGAAGAGCACUAUACCCAAAGUACAAGGACUGUGUCUUUUUUGAUACAACCUUUUGCACGAACAAAUACAACAUGCCUUUUGCUCCGAUCGUUGGCAUUAACAACCAUCUUUAGACUAUUGUCCUAGGUUGUGCAUUGCUUCCAAAUGAGCAAACUGAAACCUUCAAGUGGCUCUUCCGGCAAUGGUUGCUUGCGAUGGACAAUGAGUACCCAACAAACCUUAUGAGCGACCAGUGCAGAGCAAUGGAAACUGCAAUUUCUGAUGUGUUCCCUCACACAAUCCAUAGGUGUUGCAAGUGGCAAGUACAGCAGAAGGCGCGUGAGAAACUUGGGAGGAUGCUUACAGGCGAUUCAACUUUUGAGAAAGUUUUCUACGAAUGCAUCAAUGAAUCCAAGACAGUGGAUGAAUUUGAAGAAACAUGGCAGCACAUGCUGCAUUGCUUCGAGUACACAGAGAAUAGGCACUUACAAAACAUGUGGGAAUGCCGUCAGACAUGGGCUCCUGCAUACUUCAAAAAUGAUUUCUUCCCUUUCACAAGCACAACCGGGAGAUCAAAAGGGCUGAAUUCUUAUUUCAAGAUGUUGGUGCAUCCAUAG
This 717-nucleotide ribosomal RNA is filed under the name Triticum aestivum (bread wheat). RNAcentral's name for it is "partial small subunit ribosomal RNA". The record is from RNAcentral. Lineage: Eukaryota; Viridiplantae; Streptophyta; Magnoliopsida; Poales; Poaceae.